Molecule: ribosomal RNA, 535 nt
Filed under: uncultured Actinomycetes bacterium
Lineage: Bacteria; Bacillati; Actinomycetota; Actinomycetes
Description: bacterial SSU rRNA
Rfam family: Bacterial small subunit ribosomal RNA
Source: RNAcentral
ACAUGCAAGUCGAACGAUGAAGUUCCUUCGGGGAUGGAUUAGUGGCGAACGGGUGAGGAACACGUGAAGAAUCUGCCCUCCACUUCGGGAUAACACCGGGAAACCGGUGCUAAUACCGAAUAUUGAAAUAUAAGUGGCAUCACUGAAUUUUGAAAGAAUUUCGGUGGAGGAUGACUUCGCGGCCUAUCAGCUUGUUGGUGAGGUAAAGGCUCACCAAGGCUACGACGGGUAUCCGGCCUGAGAGGGCGACCGGACACACUGGGACUGAGACACGGCCCAGACUCCUACGGGAGGCAGCAGUGGGGAAUAUUGGGCAAUGGACGAAAGUCUGACCCAGCGACGCCGCGUGAGGGAUGAAGGCCUUCGGGUUGUAAACCUCUUUCAGUAGGGAAGAAGCGAAAGUGACGGUACCUAAAGAAGAAGCACCGGCUAACUAUGUGCCAGCAGCUGCGGUAAUACAUAGGGUGCAAGCGUUGUCCGGAAUUAUUGGGCGUAAAGAGCUCGUAGGUGGUUUGUUGCGUCGGGUGUGAAAUUC